Molecule: non-coding RNA, 209 nt
Organism: Pelobates cultripes (western spadefoot toad)
Lineage: Eukaryota; Metazoa; Chordata; Amphibia; Anura; Pelobatidae
Source: the annotation of a GenBank genome assembly
GUCCCGAAAGGCUAUACCAUCCAUAGUGAAGUUACGAACCGGAUGAAUCCCCUAGUUCGUGGGAUUCAUCCUACCGAACGACGGGCCGUUCGUGCGUUUCCCUUGGUACUUUCUGCAGCCCUGGAGGUCUUAGCGGUGUUCGGUUAGUCGAGUGUCCGUUUUGAGUUCCAGACACUCGACGACCAAACAUCACUGUUCGCGGGUUUAAG